RNAcentral lists this ribosomal RNA (253 nucleotides) under uncultured bacterium. RNAcentral's name for it is "partial 16S ribosomal RNA". It matches the Rfam family "Bacterial small subunit ribosomal RNA", at positions 524 to 776 of the family's 1533-position model. The record is from RNAcentral.
UACGUAGGGUGCGAGCGUUGUCCGGAAUUAUUGGGCGUAAAGGGCUCGUAGGCGGUUUGUCGCGUCGGGAGUGAAAUCCACUGGCUUAACUGGUGGCUUGAUUUCGAUACGGGCAGACUGGAGGUAUGCAGGGGAGAACGGAAUUCCUGGUGUAGCGGUGAAAUGCGCAGAUAUCAGGAGGAACACCGGUGGCGAAGGCGGGUCUCUGGGCCGGAACUGACGCUGAGGAGCGAAAGCGUGGGGAGCGAACAGG